Molecule: long non-coding RNA, 810 nt
Organism: Capsicum annuum
Lineage: Eukaryota; Viridiplantae; Streptophyta; Magnoliopsida; Solanales; Solanaceae
Exons: 2
Source: RefSeq, a predicted model, not a curated record
UUAGGCCUGAAUCUUCUCUUUCUCUUAUUGAAUACAUGGUUUCUCUUCCCAAAUAGACAUCAACGUCUUCUUUUCCUAUUCAAGAAAAAAUAUAGACCCCUUUCACCAUGGGUAAAGUUUGCUUCUCCAUUCUUGUGUCAUGGCAAUAAAAAUCACGUGAAAAUUUGAAUAGAUCCAAGAUCCAAUGUUGUGUUCAAAUUGAAUGACCAAGCCUGCUCAAGAAAGAGAAGCCUAGUUUUUCUAUAUAAAUACUUUUGUUUGGAGUCUAUUCUGGGGGGGUGGGGUGGGGGGGUUGGGAGCCACUGCUCCCACACCUCUUGAAAUUAUUAUUUCUCCUUCUUUGCUAAAAAACUAUUUUAUUUCUCAGCUUUUGUUUCACAUGUUUGGUUCCCUCUCAAUAGAGACUUUAGGUUUUGAGUAUUCUCUGAGUUCGUUGUUAUUUAAUAUCAAGUCUAGACCGGUGACAAAGCACCCAUGUUCACUUCGACGCAAUAGGUACCAGUUCAGUUGUAGUCCAUAUAUCAUGAUCAAAUAGUUGCAGAUUCCAACCAAUAAAUGAUGAGUCCUCCUACUUCAGGCACUUCAGUUAGAUGUUAUUUACGUACUUUAAUUUCUUACUCCUAUGUAUUGAUUAGUGGUAGUUGGAGUAACAUCCCAGCUAUCUAUAGUUAGUAUAGUAGAGGCUUCACAAAUGUCAGUCAGAGUUAGUUAUGUAAUUUUAGUUCUGUUUAUUAGUUUUAUCAGAAUAUAAAAUUGUAUCUGUGUAGUAUUUUUUCUAGAUUCCAUCAUAAUUAUAUUUCCACACAGUAA